UUGACGUUUUAUCUUCCCAAACUAGAUAGAGACAGGGUUGAUUCCUCCCGCUCCGAAUCUCAUCCUCCUCAGUCCUCACCAGCAAAGCAAGGGGACGUGAAAACAAGCAAACCAAAAUGAGAUUCAACUUCGACUUAACAGAAUCAAACCCAAACUCUUCUUCUCGAAAAUCCCUAACUCCCAAAGAAGAUACCCAAUGGGUCCCACUCCAAAACCACCCGCUCUUCGCUUCCUCCUACGAAGACACCGCGCCUCGAUCACCAUCUAAUCUACUAGCUUGGGACGGCGCUUCUAGAUUUUACUAUUGGGAUUCAAACCUCCGUUGCCUCCAUCGAAUUUCAAUUCGGCUCGGCGAUCCCGAACCUUCCUCUGUCCUCGCUGCCUCUCUUUCUAAGGUACUGCAAACUGAUGCGGAGAUUAAUUUUGAGGUUAAUAAAAUUUCUAUAAAUAGAAAUGGCUCUGCGAUGGUUCUCUCCGGCACCAAUGGUUUAUGUGUUAUGUAUCUCUAUGGACGCUCUUUUGGUAAAGAUAACGCCAUUGUUUGCAGGACCGUGUCCAUUGGUUCACAAAUUUAUUUCAAUGAGAGCAAUGCAAUAGAGACGCGAAGAGUUUCGUGGCAUCCUUACAGUGAUACGCAUUUAGGAAUUCUUUCUUCUGAUUCAGUUUUCCGAUUGUUUGACUUGUCUUCAGAUGUCCUGAAGCCAGAGCAGGAAUAUUAUCUACAGCCAGUUGAACCAGGUAGAUCCAGGAAUGCUGCAUCAAUCUGUCCUGUUGAUUUUUCUUUUGGGGGCUAUCACUUGUGGGACAGAUUUAGUGUUUUCCUAUUAUUUAGUGAUGGUUCAGUUUACAUUCUUUGCCCAAUUGUUCCAUUUGGAAGUGUCCACAAAUGGGAAUCUGUGUUGGAGAUAUACAGUGAUGCUGAAACAUUUGGACUGAAAUCAGCAAAUCCAGUUGCUGUAAAUAACUCAAAUCGGGCAAUCUCUUGGCUCGAAGCAACAUUUCCCGAGUUAGCCCAUGAAUCAAAGGAGGGGGGGUUAUCAACACUAAAAGCUCAUCCUUAUGCUGUAUUUGAUGCAUCACUUUGUUUGCAGGGCCCUCUACGCAAAGUACAUCAUGGUGGGGAAGAUGAAGACCCAGCAGUCAGUGUUGCAGAAUGCGAAGGUCGUGCAAUCAGUUUUCUCUAUGAUUUAGCCAGCAAAGACUCAAUUCUGGUGACUGCCUGGAGUGGUGGGCAGAUGCAAAUAGACGCCCUAGCUGAUGAAAUCCAGCCAGUCUGGAUGGUUGGUAGUCCACCUCGUCUUCGUGUUAAUUCCCAAGACCAUAUUAUCGGUCUUGCAAUGCUUUGUGAGUCUAUCUCAGGUGAGCUUCCUGUUGCGAAGCUUGAUCAACCACAUGAUAAUACUGUCUGGUUAGGUCAUCCACCACCUUUGUUGAGACUUGCAAUUGUGGAUUUGGCCUUACCAAGGAAAACAGAAAGUGGGUCAUAUAUUUCAAUGUUUGUUGACCCCGUUAUGCCUGAAAGAAUAUAUUCUGUUCAUGAUGGAGGGAUAGACUCAAUUGUUCUGCAUUUUCUUCCAUUUACUAGUCAGUCUGGUGGCAAGGAUGAGAUGGUCCGGACCCCCUCUGUGCAUCCUGUCCUUAGCACAUGCCAGGUGGAGAACUCCACACCUUCUCCUCUUUGUGGCUUUAUAGCAUUGUCAGAUUCAUUUGGGUACUCGUGGAUUGCAGUGAUUACUUCCAAUCAAGAAUGUGUUGUGCUAGAAAUGAGAACAUUAAAUUUAUUGUUACCUGUACAUGUUGACAUGGAGAAGAAAUCUGAAACUGCAGAAGAAUGGACAAAUAGAAAUCCUCCAGACAUCAUAAGCAAAGAACUACUUAUUGGUCCUAAGGUGGUUCUUGUUCCUCAGGGUUCACCAAAUCUUCGAUCUGUUGCUGCUGAUUCUAUUGAAGGCCGGUCAACUCUUCACCAGUACCUAAACCUUUUCCAUGAAAACUAUGUCGAGUAUGCACAUAAGGUCUACUUUGAACUGGAGCAUCAUGGCCCCCGGUUGAAGAGAAUCAUUGAUGAUCAGCAUGCUCGAUUAGGUGAAGCACAGGAGAAGCUUUCAAAAGUGAGGAAGAAGCAGUCAGGAUUGGAGGACAGGAUUAAUAAUGCAAUGCACCAACACAAUCUUCUGGAACAGCGCUUGCAUUGCUUGAAGAACUUGCCUGGGGCUCAUAAGAAGCCUUUGUCUAAAGCAGAACGUGAAUUUAAGUCUGAGCUUGACCAUUUUACAGGAGUUGAAUUGGAUGCUUUGCGUACUUCCAUUGAUACCUUAAGAGCAAGGCUGAGAAGGUUCACCCAAUCUUCGAAAGGUGAUGUAGCAAAUCAGCAAAUGAAAAUAGGGGGGAGGAAUUAUGCUCUAGAUGCCCAAAUAUCGCAGCUGAAAUCCUCAAUUGCGAAACUCUCGCUUCUCAAUAGUGAGAAUACAAAGAAAGUUAAGCUUGUUGAAUCCGUGUUAAAAAAUCAGGAAAGCAGUAGAUGAUGGGUUUCUCAGCCUCAAAUAUGAAGCCCACCUAAAGUUGGUGAUCUUUUUCAGCACCCCCACCCUUAGUGGCCCAUGCUUUGGUCAAGAACUUUUGCAUUUUGCAGUAAAGCACAUUCAGAGGGAACUUUGUACCUGUAUCUUUGAAUUGAAAUUUUGCAUAUCUGUUAUGCUAAAAAUCAUGGGAUUUUCAAGAUGGGCGCCGCAUGUUCAGCCUAAAGCAAUCGUAUUGAUUGCUUCUUGUCCUCGUUCAAAAUCUGGUUGUAGUAUCGAAUAAAAUUAUCCGCCCAUAGCAUUUUUUCGGCCGUCCAGUGAAGAAAUGAUUGAGUUCAUGAUCUGGGUCCAACAUAAAGAGAAAUCAGGACUCGAGGGGCUCGAGGAGAAGAUGCUGCACCUACAAAACGCAUAAAUUGCUCGAUCAUAAUAUUUAGUAGGCUUUUAGUUUAUUUUGUACUUUGACCGAAUCCACGACGAGCAAAUUCAAAUACUGUCUACAUGGUUGAAUAAUCCAAUUCCUAUUUUUAUUUAUUUUA
RNA transcript from Populus nigra (black poplar), 3058 nucleotides. It is a transcript of the gene named nuclear pore complex protein NUP88-like, with no coding region annotated. Lineage: Eukaryota; Viridiplantae; Streptophyta; Magnoliopsida; Malpighiales; Salicaceae. The record is from RefSeq and is a predicted model, not a curated record. The transcript is spliced from 10 exons.